RNAcentral lists this ribosomal RNA (496 nucleotides) under uncultured bacterium. Its description in RNAcentral is "partial 16S ribosomal RNA". It matches the Rfam family "Bacterial small subunit ribosomal RNA", at positions 28 to 506 of the family's 1533-position model. The record is from RNAcentral.
GAUGAACGCUGGCGGCGUGCCUAAUACAUGCAAGUCGAGCGAACGGACGAGAAGCUUGCUUCUCUGAUGUUAGCGGCGGACGGGUGAGUAACACGUGGAUAACCUACCUAUAAGACUGGGAUAACUUCGGGAAACCGGAGCUAAUACCGGAUGAUAUUUUGAACCGCAUGGUUCAAAAGUGAAAGACGGUCUUGCUGUCACUUAUAGAUGGAUCCGCGCUGCAUUAGCUAGUUGGUAAGGUAACGGCUUACCAAGGCAACGAUGCAUAGCCGACCUGAGAGGGGGAUCGGCCCCACUGGAACUGAGAAACGGUCCAGACUCCUAAGGGGGGCAGGAGGAGGGAAUCUUCCGAAAGGGGCGAAAGCCUGACGGAGCAACCCCGCGUGGGUGAUGAAGUUUUUCGGAUCGUAAACCUUUUUUAUUAGGGAAGAAAAAAUGUGUAAGUAACUGUGCCAAUCUUGACGGUACCAAAAAAAAAAGCCACGGCUAACUCCGG